RNAcentral lists this ribosomal RNA (253 nucleotides) under uncultured bacterium. RNAcentral describes it as "partial 16S ribosomal RNA". It matches the Rfam family "Bacterial small subunit ribosomal RNA", at positions 524 to 776 of the family's 1533-position model. The record is from RNAcentral.
AACGUAGGACACGAGCGUUAUCCGGAGUUACUGGGCGUAAAGGGCGUGCAGGCGGUCACAUAAGUCUGAUGUGAAAGCGCCCGGCUUAACCGGGCGAGGACAUUGGAGACUGUGUAACUAGAGGCAGAUAGAGGGGUGUAGAAUUCCGGGUGUAGUGGUGAAAUGCGUAGAGAUCCGGAGGAAUACCAGAGGCGAAGGCGGCACCCUGGGUCUGACCUGACGCUGAGACGCGACAGCAUGGGGAGCGAACGGG